Molecule: long non-coding RNA, 14188 nt
Organism: Cavia porcellus (domestic guinea pig)
Lineage: Eukaryota; Metazoa; Chordata; Mammalia; Rodentia; Caviidae
Exons: 3
Source: RefSeq, a predicted model, not a curated record
AUAAUAGUAACUCUUUUUGAUUUCCUAUUAACUUGUUUUGAAGUCCUGUAGUACUCCCACGAUCUUGUUUUGACUGAUUAGACUCUGUUCCAUUCUGUAUGAUAGUAUCAAGUUUGAGGGUAUAGGCAACUACUUUGAAGGCAAUAAGAUUCACUAAGAUGCCCAUACUGGUUUGACUAUUGUCUCCUUUGGAAGUCCUGUAAUGUUAAUGCCUAAGUUUUAUUGGUCUUGUUCUCUACUGUUUUGUCCAACUUUAUAAUAUCUAAUGAGAUAGACAAUUCUUAAGGAAACAAGAGACAACGUUGAUAACCAUUGUUGAUAACCUUGUACUCUGUUCUACACCAUGUGCUAUGUCUAUCCUUGGUUUUGACUGACAGCUUUGUUUUGCCACAUUUGACUGUAUUCUCUCCCCCCCACCAAAAAGUAAUAAGAACUAAGGAGUAAUAAAAUCCAAAAUGUGUAAAUUUUGUUGUAAAAAAGAGAGGGGAAAAAAAAAAGAGCUCUAACGGAUAUAACAGCAAGUGUGUUUAGGGGUGUUAAAUAGCUGACUAUAUCAAUGUUUUUGGAUCAUUGAACGCAGCUGUUUGCAGUCUCCCUGUUUGAAUGUCCACUUUGUAUUCUUUGAUACUGUGAUUUGAGCAACUAUCCUUAAGAUGAUAAUAUGUAAUCUAUUAACAGGUGAUUUCUUACUGUUAUUUUUUUUUUUUGUAGUUCUGUAUUACGCGUACCCUUAUACCGCUUUGUUUUGUUUUGUGUUUUUCUCUUUUUCCUCUUAAAUAAAAAAAAAAAGAAAAGAAAUAAUGGUGCCUCCUUACAAUGUACUUAGCCUACAGGUCACAUAUGAAGAAGUGAAAAGGUAUCACAGGUUAUGCUAUAUAUCUCCAGCAAGGAUUUUAAAUACUCGCUUUUUAAAAAAAAAAGUUCCCUGUAUUUUUUGGAAUAAAUGACAAAUACAACUUAUUUAGUCAUCUUUAAGCUUCAAAAAUAGAUGGAGGUGUAUCUUAUGUUGUCUUUUAAUUACAAUAUGUGGAGUAUUUCUGGCUGACUGGAAUAAUUAGUUCAGAAAAACUCUCCAGAAUUCUUGCUGUAAAUAGAAGGAACCACUUCUAUGGGUAGAUUCCUGAAAGGAACCUAUAGACACUAGUGUGUGCUUGAGAAUUUCACCAAGCAUGCCAGUUCCUGUAAUGUAUCAGUAGGAUCUCUCUUGUCAUUUGUGUUUUGUACAUGCUAAAAGGAUACAGGCCUCAGAGCAGAGUAACCCCAAAUGGAGGGCCACAAACCUUUGUUCCCAAAGGAAACAACGAAUAACUCCCCACAGAAAUUACUGUAUUUCACUAGGAGUGUCCUCUAACACUGCCCACAGUGGAAAGCAUCCUCAGCCUUGCACAUGUCCUCCUGUAUCAGAAUCCCUGUGCUCUGCUGGCUGACAAUUGACCUUCUACUCUCCAGGCUCUGUAACGGGGCAUCAGCAAUGUUCAGAUGCAUCCUGACACAUCAGGAGAGUCCCAGAGAAGGAACAUGGCUAAGGGCCUCCAAAAACCAAAGCAAAAGCUCCACACAGCGAGCUGGUGGCACCAGGCCAGGUAUGGAAGACGGAGAUUGGCCCCAAUUCAAGACAAUUUGAUACAAAGAGGAAACACUUGACAUAGAAUGCUGCAUGAAGAAGGUCAUGUGGAAAUUCAAUUCUUCAGAAGCUGCCUUAUGAGGUUUUUUUUCCAAACUCCCUGAGAGGAAGAUGGGGCAUUACUGCAGUUGGAGGCAGUACUAAGGCAAUCCUUCCAUCCUGAGGAAAUGGUUUUACAAAAUCCUGAGCCAUGAGAAAUUCCUUCGCAGAAAGAUCUAGCAGUUGAAGAAGGCAGGGCUAUCUGAGAGCUCGGAUAGCCUGCAAACCUUCUCUGAGUCAAGCCAGGAACCAGGAGCAAAUGAAGACUGAUUGGGUGAGUAUGCAGCUGCCACCUGGAAGCAGCACAGCCCUGCUGAUCUUAGGAUCCUGCAAUGAGGAAGCCAACUCGUGACAGCUAAGGGGCAUCCUGUAAGGGCCUGAAAACUCGCCACAAGGGAUAGAGAUAGGAAAUAAGUGUCAUCAAGAGCCUGCAUUUGUUCACUAGUGGAUCCCUCUGUCCAGCCCACACUUACAGGAAACAUGGCUCCUCCCUGCAACUUUCUCCUACAACUUCCUGUGAUGGCGGCUCCUGGAAGCUGCUGGCCCGUUUCUGGCCCCUCUACAUCCAGGUUCUACGAUAAGUGUUAAUGGCCGGGUCUUCAGAGAAGGCAAAGAGGUCUAGCCUGGAGUUCAAGACGCUUCCAUCUAGCUAUAGGCAAUAUGUUCUCCAUAGCUAAGAUUCAUGGGAAAGGAACUAUCAUGGCGCCCAUAAUACUGAAACUCUGUCCACACGAUGGCAGUAGUAGUGCUCCACGAAGGGUCACACGGAUUGCCCGCCAGUGCUGUUCUCCCGCCCUUCCUGUCUGAAAAAAAUGGCACCAGAAAUGUGGCUACCCUUGAGUUUUACCCAGCCUGCUGGAACUUGCUCACUGGAGUGCCACUUACUUUUGGUUUCUGUCUGAAAUCAAACUGAAGUCUAAAUUUCACCCUUUAUUGCUUAUACCAAUGCUCUUCACUUAAAUUUACACCUCAAAUAUUAUUUUCAGGUUAUUAAGUUGUAUGUUUUGGGAAUGCAUUUCAAGGACUGAGGCCAAAAAUUAAGAAGACAAUUCUCAAUAAUUAAGAGCAGGAGUAUGGCAUUUCUAGGCAUCAAGCUACACAUUACUUGGCUUAUUAUUCUUAAUGACAAAAUUAUUCUGAGACUGGUUAAAAUGGUAAAAAAAAAUAUAUAUAUAUAUAUAUAUAUAUAUAUAUAUAUAUUUUCCUCAAAGUUAUUGCAAUUAGUGCCUUGUAAUAGGAAUGAAAGAAAUCAAGGUUAUCUCAACAUACAAAGACAUUUUGGGAUUUAAAAUCAAGAAACAGAGUGAGAAGGGUCAGUACAUGAUUUCCUACUAACAGAAGACUUCAAGGUUGGAGGCCUAGUCUUUCUAAACUGACCUAAGAUUGUGGUUUUCACUGGGCCAGGCCAACCAAAAAUGAGCCCCAAGAUAAGUCUCAUCCAAAAGAGGGCUCAGAAGAGUAAAGUCUGCUCAAAGAGAUUAUCAUUUUCUGGAUCUCAAAAAGCUAUUUCAUUUAUACUAUGUCAAGUGGAAAGUACUAAUUUGCUUGGAUCCCUAGUUAAAAGGCAUAGAUAUCUAGUAUCCAUGCAGAUCAUACAAUGCCUCACUUUGGGUAGUAUAUUUUUCAAAUAUGAAUAAUUCUCAAUGAUUAGUUCCUCAGAAUUUAUCCCAUGCUCCUCCUUUAAGAUGGAAACAUAAGUACUUUCUCAUGUUAUCAGUUUUCUGCUCUCUAUUGAAAAGGCUUUUGAUCUAAAUUUCAGCAGAACAUGGUAGUCACACACCUGCAGUCCCAGCUAUUCAGAAGGAUCACCAGUUAGAGGUGAGCCUGGGCAAGAGGUGGGGUGUAGCUCAGCAGAAUGUCCCAGGGUUCUUUCUUUAGCAUCAUAAAACAAAACAAUGUUUAUUUCAUUUUCUUUCAUUUUAACUGUAUUUCUUCUCAUUUGAGACAAUAUUGUUGCUUAGAAUUUCUUCAGAAGACAAGGAAAAAUUGCAUUGAAACAAAUGAGAAAUGUUACUUUAUGGGUUAGUCACAUUUAGUCUGCUACAAUAGAUCAAAGUCUAGUGUUUUUUUAAAUUUGUCAACAGCUCUUUAUGUAUAAUAUUGGCCUACUCACCUCAUCCCCUGCUACUCAAAAUAAAAUGCAAAAUAUAACAUUCUCCUUUAACGUAUCAAAAAACUCACAAAAGAUAAAUUAUCAGAGUAGAAAGUUAUGGAAACAGAGUUAAGAAAAGCACCAGUUGCUUUGGUCUUCUGAGUGGCCUACCUGGAUUUCAUUGUCACCACCCUCACAGGUGGCAAAGAGCAGAAGAUGGGAGAGGCCCGAAGGGAACUACAGUAAUGAAAUGGACCUUCUUUCAACAUGUUCCCCAAAGCAAGCACCUGUAUCACAUGGUUAUAAGUUGGUUCUAUGACCUUGCAAGCGAAAAGUAAAUCCAGUCUGAUUUUUAAAUCUUUUAGAGCAGAAAUGAAGUAGAAUUACUCCCAAACAUAGUCUGAACAAUUUUUAUAACACUGAUACCCAAUUCAAAUGUAAAUGUGACUGAAAAGAAAAUUAAGAAUCCAUUUCAUUGAGGAAGAGAUAUAAAAUAGAGAUAUAAAAUUCUACAGUAUCAGUAAAUUAAAUUCAGCCUCGUGUAAAAGAAAAUAAACUGACAUGGAGUUUGAAGGCAGAGAAAUUUAACCUUGCAAAAAAAUUAAAUUUCACUACUUUUCCCAAAAAAGAAGAAAUUUAAGACCGUAUAAAGAAGAAAUUUAAGACUCUGUAAUCUGAGGUAUUCAGGAGGCUGAAGCAAGAGGAUAUAUAAAGUUUGAGGCCAGCCUUGACAACUUAGGGAGACUCUGUCUCAAAAAUUAAAAGUUUUAAAAGGGGCUGAAAAUGUAGCUUGGUGGCCGAAUGCUUGCCUCCAAUGAAAGACUGGUGUUUAUCCCAAGACCAGAAUUAUAACUAGUGAACACUUAAUUGGCCCUGGGAAGUUUUGCUUUAUAAUUGUGCAACUUCAAUGAGAUUGAGCAGGAUACACAAUUUAUAUUCUCUACUGUCCAAUUAUUUCAAAAUGCACUGUUUCUCUGUUCAUAAAAAGCAUUACUGCUUAUGCAGAAACAGAAACAUGAAUAAAUAUGAAGCAGAGAAAUCUAGAGAAAAGAAUCCUAGGCAGUUUUUACCUCUUAGUUCAAAAGCUAUGUAAAGUUUAAAGUCCUUAAAUGAAAAUAACAAAAUUUGAGUAUUUAUCUUGAGCAUCAGGUUUGAACAGUUGAAAUAUUUACUAAUAAGCUCUCCAUUUGGAAAGACGUUUUAAAGGAUUGAUGUCAUUUUUGUUACUUUCUUAACUUUGUGAGUCAAAAAACUGGAGAGGACCCCAGGAGCCUGGACAGUCAGCUAGGUCAAGGUCCACAAGGUCUAACACCUGCAAUAGCCUCACCAGUGCUUUAAGCAUCCACACAUUUCUAUUCCCCUGCACAGAUCUCUGAGAUGUGAGCCCUGUGCUUGAUGAUGUCUGUGAGGUUGAUACAGUGUGUCAAUUUCAGAAGUUUAAAAGUUUAAUUGAGAGACUCAGCAGGGAGCAGACUUAGGGUUCUUACUUGGUAAAUAUUCUCAUUUUGUGCAAGAGGAGGGCACAGAGAUUUUGUGAUUGCUACACCUGCCCUGGUGUCCGGUGGCCUGUGUAUAAUAUAAGAGAGGGAGAGAGACUUUCUCUUCUCCCCUUUGGCUCUGGCUGCUGCCGUGAAGUGUUGCCCCAGUGCCAUGCCACCCCACCUUAGAGCCAGCUGAUUACGGACUGAAAACUCCACAACAGUGAGCUAAAUAAGCCUUUCCUUCCUUCAGCUUGGGUGUCAGGUAUUUUGACACAGCAAUGCGAAAAAAGUAACCAAGGCGACUUCCAAAUGUGAAAAUCUGUAGCUCUAAUGUUAACUGAAGAGGCUAUCAGCAGAGCCAUAGUCUACUGGACAUGGCAUUGUGGCAUUUUUUUUAUUGUUUUAUAUUUUCUUGUUUCUUUCUUUUAAGACAAGAUCUCCCUACAUGUGUGUUGUGCUGACCUUCAACUCAUUAUGUAGCCCAGACUGGCCUCAAACUGCAGGCAGUCCUCCUGCCUCAGCCUUCUAAGUGCUAGGAUAAGAGCUGGGCACCACCACACACAGCCCAGAACAAGUUUUAAAAGGGCCUGAAAAGAUACCCGAGAAGUUUGGUUGUUUAAUGUUUUACUAAAUCAAAAGCAAAGAGGAACAUCAGCCACGUUUCCUAGUGCCUCUGUUGCUUAGUGGUUUUGUUUUAUUUUGGUUCUGGUUUUUUCUCAUGCAGUGGGCGGGAGAAGAGGGCCUGGGGGAAGGGCUCACUUGCUUUCCUGGAACCAUACUGCCAUCACGAGGAAAGAGUUUCACAAAAGCAAAGGAAAGCUAAAAGUUGGAAUUCAAAUGUGGAAUGGCCUGACUCCAUGCCAGGCCUGGCCUUCUGGGAACUCAGGAUGAAGGAAUCUGAGAGAAGAAGCUGCUCAGUAAGUGGGGUGGGACUUGGGCAGGGCUCUGGUUUCCUGUCACUGUAAGUAUGACAGUAGGAGGCCACAGAGAGCCUGUGGAGAGCUCUUGACUUGUCUUCUGUCCCUGUCCACUGGAUAAUGAGGCAGUAGAGUAGUGCAAGGUACCCUUACACUUUAGGGGCUGAGUUCCUGUCUCAGCAGUAUUAAAAGUGCAGAGCAUGGGCUGGGUGUGGUGGCACAUGUAAAUCCCAGCACCCAGGAGGCUGAGGCAAGAAGAUCGCACUCAGUUUGAAGUCAGCCUGAGCUACACAGUGAUUUCUAGGGCAGCUUGAACUACAUAGUGAGAUCAAAUCUCAAAAUAAAAAAGGAAGGAAUUUAAAAAGUGCAGGGAUGAGGUGGUGAAUCUUAUUCCAGGUGAUGUCUAAGAACAGCUGGUGUGCUUUUUGGGAUCUCAGAUAUUCUGAAGAGCUUGGUGUCCCAUUGCCUGGAGUAAGAAGGUCCUGAGAAGUGUGUACCACUGUGUCAAGUCAGUGAAUUCCAGAACAUCAGUAAGAGACAAGAUACAUACACAGAAAGCAUAGAAGUAUUGUUCUGAGCCCAGGAAGGAGGUAACAGACAUUGGUGAGCAGUCCUUUUCCGGGGCCCAUUAUGAAGACACAGGCUCAUUGACAGGCAUCUGCUGUAAUUUCCGCUUUCAUCAGGGGACACAAAUGGGUCUCUCCCUGAGGAGGAAGAGAUUUGAGGCUUGAGACUUAACUGUUCACUCCUGAUAGCUGGUGUUGUGUUCUGUGCCUACUUCUUAACCUUUCACUGAUGAAGACUGCUUGCAGGCCCCAAACGGUAUCCUUCCUCAGGGCAUUAAGAACUCUUGCCUCUUUUAUGGUCACACUUCUGACCUAAGUUAAUCUCCGUGUAUGAUUCACUCAGAGCAAGGGCUAAGCACAUCACUGCAACAAGCACUGGUAUUAUGAUCCUUUUACUUUGAAUUCCAUUCCAUUUGAAUGCUUAUAUGAGUGUGUGUCUGUGUGAGAGAGAGAAACAGGCAGACAGACAGACAGACAGACAGAGGGCGUGGAUUUGUUGCUAAAACUUUAGACUUUCAUGUAGUGUGGCCAUCUUCAAGAGUUCUGAGGGGUUUUUCUUCCUUCUAGCAUACUUUUGCCAGGCCUUGUAUCCAAGGCCACCUCAUAUGACAUUAGAUAUCCUUCAGGUGAUUGGAUUUUAUGUAAUUUAGAAAUUUAACCUAAGACUGUUGUCUUCAUUAUAAAAAGUGACCCUUUUCAUGUCUAUGUGUAAAUAAAACUAUUCAUAAUUUUUAGAGAAAUGAAAUCUAACAGUGAAGACUACUUUAAAAUAUGAGCGGUAGAAUCUCAUGAUUUCAAAUGUAAACCUUACUUGUUACUAUUUUUCUUUUUUGGUACUAGGGAUUGAACUCAUGACCUUAUGCUUACCAAACACUUGAGCUACUGAUCUAAAUCUCCAGCCCUAGUUCAAACACUUAGACAUGUAUAAAGUGAAUACUUGAUAGCAUGACCUUAGAAAAAUUACCCCAGACAGAAAUGCUAUGGAUAGUUUUGGUAGAGGACUUGCAUUGCACAUAUUCACUCUUUAAAUAUCUAUGUAAGUCUAUGUAUUCAGUUUAAGGUAAUCAUCCCUGUUUUCUUAGACUAACCAAGUAGGAUGGGGUUUGAUCCUCAAGAUCAAACAUUUUGCUUUAAUCCCCAGUCAAUGAUGUGAAACGUCUUUCCUGAUCCCGAUGCAGUCAAUGUUAUGGAGUCUUUGCAAGGAUUUAAGAAGACUACUUGGAUAUCAAAACUAUAUGAAAUCCAAGCCAUCAGAGGAUAGGCCCUUUGUUCCUCCUAUUGACUUUCAUUGAUCAAUUAAUCUAAUUGUCACUACUGUUUUGUGUCCUAUGGCUGUGUGAUCAUUUUCAUUUUUUUUUUUUUUUGUACUGGGAUAGAACCCAGGGCAUUUUUAAAAAAAAAUUUUCUGACAGGGUCUGCUCAGUUGCCCAUGCUGGACUCAAACUCGUGAUCCCCUUCCUGGAUCUGCCUCCCAGAGUGCUGGGAUUUACAGGUGUGCCAAUAUCACAUAAGGCUUGUGAUCAGUGUUUUUUCCAGAGUUACUGGACAAAACGUGUGCACUUGUGAAUUUUUGUCUUGGCCUGUUGUAACUGAAAUAAUUUUAUAUAGUUGAUGGUCACCUUUAAUCUUCACAAGGCAUCUAGAAUCAUUAAGAUAUGCUUUGAUGUAUGUGCAUUCCUCCAGGAUAAAUAUCACUUGAGAGUUUUGUUUAUUAAUUAUUGCCUCUUGGCUCUGAACAUACUAAAUAUCCUCUAUAAUACAGUGAAAAAUUUUCCUCUGCAUGCUGAACUCUGAUGCUAUCAAAUGGGACCCAAGGACCAGCAUGCUAAAGGAGGGUACCAGACUGUCUGCCUCAAGCCCAAGGGACAGGGACAGAAGGUAAAGAGCUAAAGCCGUGCACUUGGCAAACUGCUUCCUCUAGUUUAGCCUAUGCUAGGAGGGCCCGUAAGCUCUAUCUCUGUGACUUCUCGUGCCUGGGUUUCUUGAUAAUUGCUUGCUCAGUCCUGGCUGCUCAUUGGUUAGCAUGUACAGCUAUGUCUUACCUUUGUCCAGAGCACCUAGAGAGUCUGGGGGAUGAAGCAAAGAGAAUCACAGUUGUGGUCAGGGGCUUUUUAACCUUUCCAAAGGUCCAAUCUUCAACUUUUGGUUUCUCAUACAGGAUAAACUUCAUCAGCUGACUUCCUCAUGAUAACAUUAUUGCUCCAGAAAUGUUAAACACCUCUAUUCCCAAUCCCACCCCCACUUGCUGUCUAUUUAGUCUUUAAAUGAUGAUAAAAGACUAACGCAUAGGAAACAGAUCUGCCAUGCAUUUGGCUCAGUUCAAAGAAAUUUGCUCACAUAGCGGUGAUUUUGCUUUUUGUUUCCACCCAAGAUCAAAAGAGACCUAAAUCACCCACCCUCAUGAGACAUCUCUUUUCAAGAAAUACAUUUCCUUCAGACAGGUGCUUCACAAUUCAGCAUCUUUCUACUUAAUGCUAGUUCAUAAGGAUUCCCAAUUUAUCAGGUUGUCUUCUUCAAGGGCCAAAACUCAGGAUUCUACGACUGUAUAGAAAAAGAAAAUGUUAGAAGUUCUAGGCUUGGAGGAAGCCAUCUCAAGUCAUCUAGCUUCAUGGUCCUUGAUAAGACAGGCUUCCUACCUUCCCAGAGAGUCUCUCUCCAUUUUCUAGAAGAUACUAGUCCUUUAAAAAGCUGGUACUUGGUUUAUUUUCUGAGACUCUUACAGUCUUUAUAGCUCUUACAUGUUCAUGACACAUCUUACGUGUGUACCAAAUGUCCCUCUAAGUCAAAUAAUAAUGUUCAACAAUUAUUUCUUUCAUCUGUCUAUCACUUCAAUUUGUGAGGAUCUAACUGCUGAUUCUCUCCAUUAGAACAAAUACAAGAGUCUGUUUCUAGUGAAUAUAUUAUUGGACCUUAUUAAGAUUUCAACCACAUUUUUCUCUUUAUUUGAAUUUUCAUCUUGUUUUCAGCAUCUGUUUUUUAGGAAGAAUAUUGAUUGAUUGAUUGAUUGAUUGAUUGAUUGUCUUUUUGAGACAGGGUUUCACUAUGCAGUUCAAGCUGGCUUUGAACUCAUUUUGUGGCCGAGGAUGGCCUUGAACUCUCAAUGAUUUUCCUGCCUCAGUCUCCUGAGUACUGAGAUUACACGCAUGUACCAAAACACCUGUCCUUACAUUUUAUUUUAUGUGCUUUUUUUCUAUAUGUGAUGUUGGGGAUGGAACCUAGGCCUUACCCAGGCUAGUAAAAUGAUCUCUCUAUGAGCUACAUCCCAAGUACUGUUUUAUGUACAUUUGAAAUGACAUUUUUUAUACAUAUUUACUUAGUAAUAUGUUCUUAUACAUGGUGGCAUAAUUCUGACAACAAAAAAUUGUUUACUUAGUGGGCAUGUUUAUUUUUCAUAUUAUCUGAGUUUUUAAAAAUGCGUGUAGAGUCAUAUUGAAUCUGAUUAUCUUUAGGCACAAUUAUUUUACAUGGGCUCAGCAUUAUAAAAUUUUCUAAAUUUAACUUUUUUCCUACCUACAUAGCUUUACUAUCCCCUUCUAACAGGUGACUCACGCCAUUUCAAAAUAUCCAGGUCUGGCAAGAUUAUAAAUUAAAAAGUAUCAAUUUUCCUAAUUUUAAAAAUUAUAUAAUUUAUGUAACUUUAUAAUAUUCAUUCAUAAACUAGGUUGAUAUAUGUGCCUUAUUAGGGAUGGAACCCAGGGCCUUGUACUUUCUUGACAAACACUCUAUCACUGAGCUAUGCCUCUAGUUCUCUUUUAUUUCGACAUAGGAUCUUGUUAAAUUGCACAUUGGCCUUCAAUUUGUGAUCUACUGCGAUCUCUGAGUGGCUGGAGUUACAGGUAUGCCCCAUAUACAUGUAAAGUCAGCCCACUUAGCUUUUUUUGUGGCACUUGGUAAAGAAUCCAAGAUCUCAUGCAUAUUAGGAAAGCACUCUAGCGCUGAGUUGUAUACCCAGUCCUCAACAUGUCUUUUUAUUUUAUUACUUUUCACAUAUUAUAUAGAAAUCUUUAUUCUUCAAGUGUUUCCAGAUACUGAAAAAAUAAUUUCAUUUACUAUUUAUGAAAUACCCAUGUAAUUCCUAAAUAUGAUGAAAUCUAAUAUGACUUAAAAAUCUUACUUCAUUCAUACAUAACGAAAACAACAAAGUUUUAUGGAAGCAGAGACAUACUAUCUUCUCUCAUUUUCUGUUAUACAGUUUCAACAGUUUCCUAACAUGCAUUUUUGUAGUCAACCCUCCAUAUAGUCUCAUCAGUAUUUGAAGACAAUAUAUUAGUCUGCUCAAACUUCUAUUGAAAGAAUCACAGACCAGGUGGCUUAAGCAAUAGAUUAUUUUCUUCCAGUUCCAGAGGCUGAAAGUCCAAAAUCAAAGUGCCUACAAGUUUGGUUUUUGGUGAGGCCUGUGUUCUGGGUUUGCAGAUGGCACCUUCUUACUGUGUCCUGAGUGUGGCCUGUCCUCUAUGCACAUGCAAAUGGAGGAAGAGAGAGCAAGCUCUUGGUCUCUCCCUCUUCUUAUUGGAAGACAGUCCUGCAAGGUGAGGGGCCCACUGAUGAUCUCAUUUAACCUAAACCCUUCAGCAGUGUGACUGAUACAAGUCAUAUAAACUCUGCUUACCUAUUCUUAGAGGGCUACCUGACCAUGACCUCUGAAGGCUUGACUACCUCUUUAAAGGGCCUAUCUGCAAAUACCGUCACACUGGGGUUAGGGCUUCACUAGACAAAUUUUGUGGGCAUGCAGUUCAUUCCAUAAGUGAUACUAAUUUUUCUGUGAAAAAUAUUAUAACUGGUAUUAGUAAGCUCUCCUAAUGAAAAAUGUGCUAAAUAAAAAUAUAAAAUGCUUAUCUAAGAUCAGUUUGCAGAUUAAGUUCUUUUAGCAUUUUGGUAUGCCUAAGUUUUCAUCCAUUUAAAAAGAAUUCUAGUCAUCCAUUACCAUCUGUCAUGACCAGUUUGUCUUUGUGCUCACCUCAGUACACUUGUUUGUUUUGAGAAAGGGUCCUGACCAUGAACUCACUUUGUAGCCCAGGCUAGCCAUGAAUUUAUGGCAAUUCUCUUGCCUCAACCUCCAUGGUGCUCAGAUCACAGGCCUAUGCCACCAUGCCUGACUGACUACAUACACUUUCUACAAGGCUCAACAUGGAGAUCCUAACAUACAUACAUACUCCCUGUCAAAAACAUACUGUUUUGUAUAUUUCCUUUUCCAACUAUUUCACCACCCUGAAUUCACAGGCCUGCAGUUUAGUAUUUUAUUUGCCUCCACAGGCCAGUGUUCCUCAACUGUUGUCCUAUAUUAUCAUUUGGUAGGUAAAUCAGAUUUCCUAUUUCUGUCUACUUUACUAUAGAGAUCUUAAUCAGUUUGGGCUGUCAUAACAAAACAGCAUGCACUAGGUUUCUCUCAAAGCACAGAAAUGUGUUUCUCACCUUUCUAGAGGUUGAAAAGACCUAAAACAAGGUGCUGGGCAAUUCAGUUCCUGUUAAGGGCCUGGUUUUCAGAUAGGGAAGGUUCUAGUAUUCUCACAUGAUAGAUCUCUCUGUCUCUGUCUCUCUCUCUUUUUGAGAUAGGGUUUUACUAUGUAGUUCAGGUUGGCCUUGAACUCACUUUGUAGCCCUGGCUGGCUUUGAACUUGCAGCAAUCCUCCUGAGUGCUGGGAUUACAGGUGCAUGCCACCAUGACCGGCCCCUUUGUCUCUUUAUAAGGACAAAUAUCACAUUACAGAGAUAUCAUAUUUAUCUAAACCUUUCCAAAUCCCACCACGUCAGGGCUUAGGACUUCAGCAUAUGACUUUUUGAGAGCAGGGAGCACAAACCUCAGUUUCUAGUACUAGGCUCUCUCCCCUCACCCCAUGCAUUGAAACCAAUUAUUACAUGCUGGACAGGCUUAAUAGCCUAAUCAAUAUACAUGUAUCAUCUCAGUCUCUGUGAGUCAGAAGUCUGCACAGUUCAGCUAGGUGCUUGACUCAAGGCUACAGGGAAGGUGUUGGCCCAGCCUGGGACUUAUCUGAGGCGCAAGGUCCUCUUCUAAACUCACAUGGUGGUUGGCAAAAUUCAUUUCCUGGUAGCUUUACAAUUCACAAGGCCAGCAAGACAGAAUCUCUGACCUCCAAGAACUUGUAAGGAGCUCUCUUGAUUAAAUCAGGUCCACGAGGGCACUCUUCCUUUGGAUAUAAAUUCAGUCACCUCAUUGAAGGAUUUUAAUUACAUCUGCAAAAGUUCAUCACUUUGGCCCGUUGAUACUGAAUCACAUCACACUUACAGGUACAACCUAUACCUAACUGUAGGGGAUUAUAUAGGAAAAGGGAGCCAACAGAAUCAUCUUAGAGCUCUGUCUACAAGUAUGUGAUGGUUUUUGGUGGUAAUGGUGACUGAUUAGACACAGGGCUUUCACAUGAGCUAAAUCUCCUGGCCUUUUCAUGUUUUUAAAUUUUUUUUGUCUUUUUCAUUUUUAUCGGUACCAAGGAUCGAACUCAUGACUGCCUGCUUGCAAGGCAGGUGCUUAUGCCGCUGAGCUAAAUCCCCAGCCCCAAUGUUUUUUAAUUUUGAGACAGGGUCUUCGCUAAGUCACUCCUGACUAGCCCAGGCUGGGCUCAACACUUGCCAUCCUCCCACCUCAGCCUUCCAGAGUGCAGAGAUUACAGUGCAGAGAUUACAUCACAUCCAGCUUUUUAAAUUUAAAAACAAAUUUCCAUGUAGGAUCUCACCAAGUCACUAAAUUUCCCAGACUGGGCUCGAACUUGUGAUCUUCCUGCUUCAGCCUCCCGCAGUGCUGAGACUGCAGGCAUGAGACUCCCUGCUCAGCAAGUAUCUAGGCUUAAAAAAAAGAUUUAAGCUACAACAUCUAUGAACAUAUGUUAAAGAGUUAGUUGCACAAUCCUUUACAAAUAUUAUGCCAUCUUUAUCUUUUCUCCCUUCCAAGAUUAAAACUUUUUCAACACUCUAAGCUGGUUUUUUUGUUGUUUGGUGACACAAAGGAUUGAAUCGACAGCCUUCACAUUGUAUUAUAUCCUCAGACCUUUUUUAAGUUUUCAGAUAGGAUCUCACAAAGUCAUUAAAAUACUAAGGCUGAGCUUCCCAAAGUACCAUUAUUAUAGGAACAUAAACCAGACCUGGAAAAUUUGCUAGCAAAAUCUUUAUUAAUUUAUAUCCCUAAAUAGAAGCUCCUAUUGUCCAUUUUAAAGAGUCAUUCAAUUUAUAAGUGUUUCUGUAAUUCAUAAUUUAUAGACUUUUGCUUCUGGGGGGUUAGGAUUUUAUAUGUUCUUCCCCCUCACUCCCCUCUAUUACUGCUUUACUAGUUUAUAAUUUUUCUCUUUCAUUCUCUAAGUUUUUGUUUGUGUCAAUAUCCAGUGAAUAAAAUGCUAUGACUUUGUAAACAUCAUUUUAGAUGAUUCAUGUUUAAAUACAAACGUGUAUAUGUACCUACUCCCCAAAAAUGAAUAUUAUGUAUCCCAGCUAUAUAUUAAUUAAAAAUCAUUAAAUAAAAA